RNAcentral lists this transfer RNA (105 nucleotides) under Pyronema domesticum. Its description in RNAcentral is "tRNA-Phe". It matches the Rfam family "tRNA". Rfam says of the family: Transfer RNA (tRNA) molecules are approximately 80 nucleotides in length. Their secondary structure includes four short double-helical elements and three loops (D, anti-codon, and T loops). Further hydrogen bonds mediate the characteristic L-shaped molecular structure. tRNAs have two regions of fundamental functional importance: the anti-codon, which is responsible for specific mRNA codon recognition, and the 3' end, to which the tRNAs corresponding amino acid is attached (by aminoacyl-tRNA synthetases). tRNAs cope with the degeneracy of the genetic code in two manners: having more than one tRNA (with a specific anti-codon) for a particular amino acid; and 'wobble' base-pairing, i.e. permitting non-standard base-pairing at the 3rd anti-codon position. The record is from RNAcentral. Lineage: Eukaryota; Fungi; Ascomycota; Pezizomycetes; Pezizales; Pyronemataceae.
GCGCUAAUAGCUCAGUUGGGAGAGCGUCAGACUGAAGUAAUAUUUGGUCCAUUCCAUUAAUCCGGGGUAAUCUGAAGGUCACCCGUUCAAUCCGGGUUUGGCGCA